This 253-nucleotide ribosomal RNA is filed under the name uncultured bacterium. Its description in RNAcentral is "partial 16S ribosomal RNA". It matches the Rfam family "Bacterial small subunit ribosomal RNA", at positions 524 to 776 of the family's 1533-position model. The record is from RNAcentral.
UACGUAGGGGGCGAGCGUUGUCCGGAUUUAUUGGGCGUAAAGCGCGUGUAGGCGGCUAAGUAGGUCCGCUGUGAAAACUCGAGGCUUAACCUCGAGCUGUCGGUGGAAACCAUUUGGCUAGAGUCCGGAAGAGGAGAGCGGAAUUCCUGGUGUAGCGGUGAAAUGCGCAGAUAUCAGGAAGAACACCCGUGGCUAAGGCGGUUCUCUAGUACGGUACUGACGCUGAGACGCGAAAGCGUGGGGAGCGAACAGG